CUACGGGUUGCUGCAGUGGGGAAUAUUGCACAAUGGGCGCAAGCCUGAUGCAGCAACGCCGUGUGAGUGAUGAAGGCCUUCGGGUUGUAAAACUCUGUCCUAAGGGAAGAAACAAAUGACGGUACCUUAGGAGGAAGCCCCGGCUAACUACGUGCCAGCAGCCGCGGUAAUACGUAGGGGGCAAGCGUUAUCCGGAAUCACUGGGCGUAAAGGGUGCGUAGGCGGCCCAUCAAGUCAGAGGUGAAAGGCAUUGGCUCAACCAAUGUAAGCCUUUGAAACUGUUGGGCUUGAGUGCAGGAGAGGUAAGUGGAAGUCCUAGUGUAGAGGUGAAAUUCGUAGAUAUUAGGAGGAACACCAGUGGCGAAGGCGACUUACUGGACUGUAACUGACGCUGAGGCACGAAAGCGUGGGGAGCGAACAGGAUUAGAUACCCCUGUAGUC
This 441-nucleotide ribosomal RNA is filed under the name uncultured bacterium. RNAcentral describes it as "partial 16S ribosomal RNA". It matches the Rfam family "Bacterial small subunit ribosomal RNA", at positions 339 to 795 of the family's 1533-position model. The record is from RNAcentral.